Molecule: long non-coding RNA, 338 nt
Filed under: Homo sapiens (human)
Lineage: Eukaryota; Metazoa; Chordata; Mammalia; Primates; Hominidae
Description: non-protein coding lnc-WDPCP-1:10
Source: RNAcentral
GGUUCACAAAAGUCAGCGACACGGGCGCUUCUCUACAGAACAAAGACACCGCGGCCCAUUCACAAAAGGGAGAGAAAGAGAGAAAGCUGAAUAAAAGAACGAGAGAAAUGGGGAAAAAAUGAGAGAGAGAAGGAGGGAGAGAGUGAGUGAGAAAGAAGCUUUAAGAGGAAAAGAAACAGUGCAGAGCGCAGCGCUAACCCAGGCGGGGACACACCUUAGGCUCGCGCAGGCCCCUACCAGGAGUAGCCCGCGAGGCCCGCGGUCAGCCGCCCGCGGCUCGGAGCCACUGUGAUCGUGCUGAGGUUUAAAGAAAGCAACGAAAUAUACCCCUUCCUUAG